This 467-nucleotide ribosomal RNA is filed under the name uncultured bacterium. RNAcentral's name for it is "partial 16S ribosomal RNA". It matches the Rfam family "Bacterial small subunit ribosomal RNA", at positions 28 to 506 of the family's 1533-position model. The record is from RNAcentral.
GACGAACGCUGGCGGCGUGCUUAACACAUGCAAGUCGAACGGAAAGGCCCUGCUUUUGUGGGGUGCUCGAGUGGCGAACGGGUGAGUAACACGUGAGUAACCUGCCCUUGACUUUGGGAUAACUUCAGGAAACUGGGGCUAAUACCGGAUAGGAGCUCCUGCUGCAUGGUGGGGGUUGGAAAGUUUCGGCGGUUGGGGAUGGACUCGCGGCUUAUCAGCUUGUUGGUGGGGUAGUGGAUUACCAAGGCUUUGACGGGUAGCCGGCCUGAGAGGGUGACCGGCAACAUUGGCCCUGGGAGACGGCCCGGAGGCAUACGGGAGGAAGGAGUGGGGAAUAUUGCACAAUGGGCGGAGGCAUGAUGGAGGAACGCCGCGUGGGGGAUGACGGCUUUUGGGUUGUAAACAGCUUGCGCCUGUGACGAAGCGUGAGGGAGGGUAAUGGGUAAAGAAGCACGGGUAAACUACGU